RNAcentral lists this ribosomal RNA (500 nucleotides) under uncultured bacterium. Its description in RNAcentral is "bacterial SSU rRNA". It matches the Rfam family "Bacterial small subunit ribosomal RNA", at positions 8 to 503 of the family's 1533-position model. The record is from RNAcentral.
AGAGUUUGAUCCUGGCUCAGAUUGAACGCUGGCGGCAUGCCUAACACAUGCAAGUCGAACGGCAGCGCGGGGGCAACCCUGGCGGCGAGUGGCGGACGGGUGAGGAAUGCAUCGGAAUCUACCCUUGGGUGGGGGAUAACCAGUCGAAAGGCUGGCUAAUACCGCAUGAGACCGAGAGGAGAAAGCGGGGGACCGAAAGGCCUCGCGCCGAAGGAUGAGCCGAUGUCGGAUUAGCUAGUUGGCGGGGUAAAGGCCCACCAAGGCGACGAUCCGUAGCUGGUCUGAGAGGAUGAUCAGCCACACUGGGACUGAGACACGGCCCAGACUCCUACGGGAGGCAGCAGUGGGGAAUAUUGGACAAUGGGCGCAAGCCUGAUCCAGCAAUGCCGCGUGUGUGAAGAAGGCCUUCGGGUUGUAAAGCACUUUUAUCGGGAGCGAAAAGCGGCCAGCGAAUACCUGGUCGUGCUGACGGUACCCGAGGAAUAAGCACCGGCUAACUU